GGAAGGAUCAUUAACAAAACUGAACUUAUAACUAACUGAGCGAUGUGCGCAAGCACUCCUGUCAGUAAACACACAGCCUGUGAGUGAACUCGGUUGAUAAGCCUAAAUUUUCAACGAUGGAUGUCUAGGCUCCCAUAACGAUGAAGAACGCAGCGAAAAUGCGAAAUGCAGUGUGAAUUGCAGAACCAAAAAUCACUGGAUCUUCGAACGCCUCUGGCGCUGAUCCACUCAGCAUGCUUGCUUCAGUGUGCGCAACAAUUUCAAGCAAAGUGCGGGAGAGCAUUCUCCCGUGAAACACAUGCUCUUGGCAGCAGUCACUAACGUGAUCGCCGGAGUACUUAGCCUUCUUUGCACCUGAAGUCAAGCAAGAUGACCCGCUGGACUUAAGCAUAUUACUAAGCGGAGGAAAAGAAAUUAACAAAGAUUGCCUUAGUAAGGGCGACUGAACCGGCAAUAGCUCAAAUUGAAAUCGGAGGUUCAACGAACCCUCGAAUUGUAAUCAGAUUCGCCUAAAUACGAGCGUUCCCUCAAGGUCUUCGAAAAGGCCGCCAAGGAGGGUGCCAGCCCCGUGCGGGGAGCGCUCGGAACAGGGGAGUUGAAAAAGAGUCGGGUUGUUUGGAACUGCAGCCCUAAGCGGGAGAUAUGAAUCUUCCAAAGCUAAAUAUGGAUGGGAGACCGAUAGCGGACAAGUACUGUGAAGGAAAGAUGAAAAGGACUUUGAAAAGAGAGUGAAAAGAUCUGAAAUCGUUGAGAAGGAAGCGGUACAAACUGACGGUCGUAGAGAUGGGGCACGCGACUCCAAGUCGCGGAAACCCUGCCGACACGACGGGCAAAACCAAGUGGCGAGGACUAAGAAAGGCACAAGCCGGAAAGAGUCCACGCCGCUUGAGGGGCUAAUGCGGAUUUGCCAAAAUGGUUUGUACUGUCCCGUCUUGAAACACGGACCAAGGAGUCUAACACAUGUGCGAGUGUGCGAGUGUCAAACUCAUACGCGGAAUGAAAGUGAAAGGUGCGCAGGGAAACCGGCAGCAUCGACCGACCCAGGAAGAAGGGUUUGAGUGGGAGCACAUUUGUUAGGACCCGAAAGAUGGUGAACUAUGCCUGAGCAGGGUGAAGUCAGGGGAAACCCUGAUGGAGGCUCGAAGCGUUGUUGACGUGCAAAUCACUCGUCAAACUUGGGUAUAGGGGCGAAAGACUAAUCGAACCAUCUAGUAGCUGGUUCCCUC
Molecule: unclassified non-coding RNA, 1226 nt
Filed under: uncultured fungus
Lineage: Eukaryota; Fungi
Description: sequence contains 18S rRNA gene, ITS1, 5.8S rRNA gene, ITS2, 28S rRNA gene
Rfam family: Eukaryotic large subunit ribosomal RNA (bases 351-1226)
Source: RNAcentral